This 433-nucleotide ribosomal RNA is filed under the name uncultured bacterium. Its description in RNAcentral is "partial 16S ribosomal RNA". It matches the Rfam family "Bacterial small subunit ribosomal RNA", at positions 29 to 507 of the family's 1533-position model. The record is from RNAcentral.
AACGAACGCUGGCGGCAUGCCUAACACAUGCAAGUCGAACAAGACCUUCGGGUCUAGUGGCGCACGGGUGCGUAACGCGUGGGAACCUGCCCUUAGGUUCGGAAUAACUCCCCGAAAGGGGUGCUAAUACCGGAUAAUGUCUUCGGACCAAAGAUUUAUCGCCUUUGGAUGGGCCCGCGUUGGAUUAGCUAGUUGGUAGGGUAAAAGCCUACCAAGGCGACGAUCCAUAGCUGGUCUGAGAGGAUGAUCAGCCACACUGGGACUGAGACACGGCCCAGACUCCUACGGGAGGCAGCAGUGGGGAAUAUUGGACAAUGGGCGAAAGCCUGAUCCAGCAAUGCCGCGUGAGUGAUGAAGGCCUUAGGGUUGUAAAGCUCUUUUACCCGGGAUGAUAAUGACAGUACCGGGAGAAUAAGCGCCGGCUAACUCCGUG